UCGGACGUGGUACGCGGUGUACACCUGCGGUUAAUUGAUGAGGAUCCUGCGAACUAUAUCGAAGUAGGCGGUCUGGGUUCGACUCCCAGCGUCCGAA
Molecule: non-coding RNA, 97 nt
Organism: Mycena metata
Lineage: Eukaryota; Fungi; Basidiomycota; Agaricomycetes; Agaricales; Mycenaceae
Source: the annotation of a GenBank genome assembly